This 821-nucleotide ribosomal RNA is filed under the name Staphylococcus aureus. RNAcentral describes it as "partial 23S ribosomal RNA". It matches the Rfam family "Bacterial large subunit ribosomal RNA", at positions 412 to 1240 of the family's 2925-position model. The record is from RNAcentral. Lineage: Bacteria; Bacillati; Bacillota; Bacilli; Caryophanales; Staphylococcaceae.
GUACGACGGAGCACGUGAAAUUCCGUCGGAAUCUGGGAGGACCAUCUCCUAAGGCUAAAUACUCUCUAGUGACCGAUAGUGAACCAGUACCGUGAGGGAAAGGUGAAAAGCACCCCGGAAGGGGAGUGAAAUAGAACCUGAAACCGUGUGCUUACAAGUAGUCAGAGCCCGUUAAUGGGUGAUGGCGUGCCUUUUGUAGAAUGAACCGGCGAGUUACGAUUUGAUGCAAGGUUAAGCAGUAAAUGUGGAGCCGUAGCGAAAGCGAGUCUGAAUAGGGCGUUUAGUAUUUGGUCGUAGACCCGAAACCAGGUGAUCUACCCUUGGUCAGGUUGAAGUUCAGGUAACACUGAAUGGAGGACCGAACCGACUUACGUUGAAAAGUGAGCGGAUGAACUGAGGGUAGCGGAGAAAUUCCAAUCGAACCUGGAGAUAGCUGGUUCUCUCCGAAAUAGCUUUAGGGCUAGCCUCAAGUGAUGAUUAUUGGAGGUAGAGCACUGUUUGGACGAGGGGCCCCUCUCGGGUUACCGAAUUCAGACAAACUCCGAAUGCCAAUUAAUUUAACUUGGGAGUCAGAACAUGGGUGAUAAGGUCCGUGUUCGAAAGGGAAACAGCCCAGACCACCAGCUAAGGUCCCAAAAUAUAUGUUAAGUGGAAAAGGAUGUGGCGUUGCCCAGACAACUAGGAUGUUGGCUUAGAAGCAGCCAUCAUUUAAAGAGUGCGUAAUAGCUCACUAGUCGAGUGACACUGCGCCGAAAAUGUACCGGGGCUAAACAUAUUACCGAAGCUGUGGAUUGUCCUUUGGACAAUGGUAGGAGAGCGUU